UGGGGAAUUUUGCACAAUGGAGGAAACUCUGAUGCAGCGACGCCGCGUGAGUGAUGAAGAUCUUCGGAUUGUAAAACUCUGUCCUUAGUGAAGAUAAUGACAGUAACUAAGAAGCAAGCCCUGGCUAAAUACGUGCCAGCAGCCGCGGUAAUACGUAUGGGGCAAGCGUUGUCCGGAAUUAUUGGGCGUAAAGGGUACGUAGGCGGUUUAAUAAGUCCUAAUUAAAAGGCUAUGGCUCAACCAUAGUAUGGUUAGGAAACUGAUGAACUUGAGUAGAUGAGGGGAAAGUGGAAUUCCAUGUGUAGCGGUGAAAUGCGUAGAUAUAUGGAGGAACACCAAUGGCGAAGGCAACUUUCUGGAAUCAAACUGACGCUGAGGUACGAAGGCGUGGGGAGCAAACAGG
This 403-nucleotide ribosomal RNA is filed under the name Fusobacteriota bacterium. RNAcentral describes it as "Fusobacteria bacterium partial 16S ribosomal RNA". It matches the Rfam family "Bacterial small subunit ribosomal RNA", at positions 355 to 776 of the family's 1533-position model. The record is from RNAcentral. Lineage: Bacteria; Fusobacteriati; Fusobacteriota.